RNAcentral lists this long non-coding RNA (607 nucleotides) under Capsicum annuum. RNAcentral's name for it is "long non-coding RNA (CANN_LNC004269)". The record is from RNAcentral. Lineage: Eukaryota; Viridiplantae; Streptophyta; Magnoliopsida; Solanales; Solanaceae.
UGGUAUAUCCUUUGAAUUUUCUUUUGGAGUUUUCAAAUCAUCAUCUGUCUCAUUUUUUUCACAUCUAUCGAUAUCAAUUGAAACCUGAAAAACAUAUAAUUUUUAAAAAGAUAAAUAUAUAUAAAAUUUAAUAAAAUUUGAUGUGAUUAUAUUAAAAGUUACUUUUUGUGGAGCAUCAUGCUUCUCCUUCACAGCUAACAUCAUCUCUUCAUGUUGUUUUUUCAUUUCUUCAUGAUGUUUUUUCAUUAAUGCUUCAAUAUCAUCAAAUCUUUAGUCAACAGGCAUAAGUUUAACAGAAUAAAUUAGAUAUGUUAAGAUAACCAAUUUUAAAAAUAAAAAUUCAUGUUGCACUUACAUGUCUUGACUUAUCAAUUGCAUUCAUAUCAACUUUCAGCAAAAUUUGCUCAUGAUUGAUUCAGUGUGGACACACGCACACUUUCGACAACUGGUGGUGUCUGUUCGCCGAAAUCCAUUAAAGAUGAUUCAUGUGGAGCUUCUUCAUUGAUUGGCCAGCAUUUGAGUUUGAUGUGACAGAAGGUGAUUUAUUGACUUCUUUAUUAGAGGGGUGGGCUUUAAUAUUUUCUUGACCUGUCACCGAUUCUUUUCG